Long non-coding RNA from Bos taurus (domestic cattle), 472 nucleotides. Lineage: Eukaryota; Metazoa; Chordata; Mammalia; Artiodactyla; Bovidae. The record is from Ensembl.
CUGGAGGAAGAGGAAGGAAGUAGCCGUGAAGGUGCAGAUGAGCAAGUCCUGCCUUGCUCACCAUCGCACAGCAGUGCAAAAACACUCAGCGCUUCACCACACUCUGCUCCUCAUACACCAAACCCUGCGUUCACUCCUGCUGCCUGUCAAAGCCCACCUUUCCCACCAGUGACCUCCGCGAGGUGGUGAGGCGCUGAGGACUCAGAAGCCAGCCGUCCAGGCCCAGCCUGGUUAGGAAGACGUCUGUGGUUUAUGGGCCCUUUCCAAGGCUGGCGAUACAGCAGUGAACUUGCUCUUAUGGAACACAUACAUUCUACUGGCAAGAACCAAGAAACCAAAAACGUGAGGACACAAGAAGACGGUCAUCGAUGAACCAGGACGAAGAUUCUCAACAGACACUGAAUCUGCUGGCUCCUUGACCUUGGAGUCCCAGGCUCCAGAACUGAGAGAAAUAAAUGUUUUUUGUCUAAGC